Molecule: ribosomal RNA, 503 nt
Filed under: uncultured bacterium
Lineage: Bacteria
Description: bacterial SSU rRNA
Rfam family: Bacterial small subunit ribosomal RNA
Source: RNAcentral
ACGAACGCUGCGGCGUGCUUAACACAUGCAAGUCGAACGCGAACGGUUUUCUUCGGAGAACUCAGUAGAGUGGCGCACGGGUGAGUAACGCGUAAGUAAUCUACCCAGGCAUCUGGAAUAACUCAGCGAAAGCUGUGCUAAUACCGGAUACGUUGGAGACAAGAAAGGUGGCCUCUUCUAUGCUACCGUGCUUGGAGGAGCUUGCGUACCAUUAGCUAGUUGGUGGGGUAAUGGCCUACCAAGGCGACGAUGGUUAGCGGGUCUGAGAGGAUGAUCCGCCACACUGGAACUGGAACACGGACCAGACUCCUACGGGAGGCAGCAGUGAGGAAUAUUGCGCAAUGGGGGCAACCCUGACGCAGCGACGCCGCGUGGAUGAUGAAGGCCUUCGGGUCGUAAAAUCCUGUCAGAAGGGAAGAAAUGUAUAGUACUUAAUACGUUCUAUAUUUGACGGUACCUUCAAAGGAAGCACCGGCUAACUCCGUGCCAGCAGCCGCGGUAAU